RNAcentral lists this ribosomal RNA (253 nucleotides) under uncultured bacterium. RNAcentral describes it as "partial 16S ribosomal RNA". It matches the Rfam family "Bacterial small subunit ribosomal RNA", at positions 524 to 776 of the family's 1533-position model. The record is from RNAcentral.
UACAGAGGUCUCAAGCGUUGUUCGGAUUCAUUGGGCGUAAAGGGUGCGUAGGUGGCGUGGUAAGUCGGGUGUGAAAUUUCGGAGCUUAACUCCGAAACUGCAUUCGAUACUGCCGUGCUUGAGGACUGGAGAGGAUAGUGGAAUUCCCGGUGUAGAGGUGAAAUUCGUAGAGAUCGGGAGGAACACCAGUGGCGAAGGCGACUAUCUGGCUGACAACUGACGCUGAGACUCGAAAGCAUGGGGAGCAAACAGG